CUGAGCUUCUCUUGGAUAUUGGAUGUAUUAGAAUUGGUAGAGAGAGGAGAGAGCUAAGAUUCAACAGUUGAAAAAUAAAGUCAUGCUUCGUUGUUUUGGGAAGAGUGACUGCCUAAAAGAAACUGCCUAUCACCUGCCUGUGAUGUCUUAAGUAGACAAAAGAGUGUCAAGUAGAGAGCUGAGGUCUCCUGCGGAGGAGGUCCGCUGAUACCGUUUCCUUGGAUAUCAUUCAAAAGUAUGUAAUGCAUUUACAAGCAUGGAAGAAUAUUUCCUUUCCUUUCCCAACCCCUCUCAACAAAUUUUGUUGUUAGUGUACUCCCGUCGAUUCCGCCCCCUAGCGACCCUGUGUACAGCAGAGCGGAACCCUGCCUGGUCUUUUUGCGCCAUCCUCUCGUCUUCCAGCGCUGCACCAGAUCAGCCUCUGCUGCCGUUCACAGGCUUUUCAUGGCCAGUUUUUUUCUGAAAUGAGUGCCAGGUCCUUCUUCCUAGUCUGUCUUAGGAGGAGAGCUUUCUCUGGAAGCUCCUCUAAAACCUGUCCACCAUGGCUGACCCUGCUGAUGUUUGAAAUACCAGUAGCGUAGCACAACUCAGCUGCCACAGUAUGGCAAUGACAGACCGGUGGCGACAGGUGG
This 632-nucleotide long non-coding RNA is filed under the name Equus caballus (horse). Its description in RNAcentral is "lncRNA (ENSECAG00000053611.1)". Lineage: Eukaryota; Metazoa; Chordata; Mammalia; Perissodactyla; Equidae. The record is from RNAcentral.